CCCUUAGACGUUCUGGGCCGCACGCGCGCUACACUGACACAGGCAACGAGCUUUCCUUUACCGAAAGGUAUGGGUAAUCUUUUGAAACUGUGUCGUGCUGGGGAUAGAUCCUUGCAAUUUUUGAUCUUAAACGAGGAAUGCCUAGUAAGCGCAAGUCAUCAACUUGCGUUGAUUACGUCCCUGCCCUUUGUACACACCGCCCGUCGCUACUACCGAUUGAAUGGUUUAGUGAGGCCUUCGGAUCCGCGACUCGUUUGUGGAGAAGUUGGACAAACUCAGUCAUUUAGAGGAAGUAAAAGUCGUAACA
RNAcentral lists this ribosomal RNA (307 nucleotides) under uncultured eukaryote. RNAcentral's name for it is "partial 18S ribosomal RNA". It matches the Rfam family "Eukaryotic small subunit ribosomal RNA", at positions 1470 to 1796 of the family's 1831-position model. The record is from RNAcentral.